GGUUGGCUAAUCCUGGUCGGACAUCAGGAGGUUAGUGCAAUGGCAUAAGCCAGCUUGACUGCGAGCGUGACGGCGCGAGCAGGUGCGAAAGCAGGUCAUAGUGAUCCGGUGGUUCUGAAUGGAAGGGCCAUCGCUCAACGGAUAAAAGGUACUCCGGGGAUAACAGGCUGAUACCGCCCAAGAGUUCAUAUCGACGGCGGUGUUUGGCACCUCGAUGUCGGCUCAUCACAUCCUGGGGCUGAAGUAGGUCCCAAGGGUAUGGCUGUUCGCCAUUUAAAGUGGUACGCGAGCUGGGUUUAGAACGUCGUGAGACAGUUCGGUCCCUAUCUGCCGUGGGCGCUGGAGAACUGAGGGGGGCUGCUCCUAGUACGAGAGGACCGGAGUGGACGCAUCACUGGUGUUCGGGUUGUCAUGCCAAUGGCACUGCCCGGUAGCUAAAUGCGGAAGAGAUAAGUGCUGAAAGCAUCUAAGCACGAAACUUGCC
RNAcentral lists this ribosomal RNA (484 nucleotides) under Escherichia coli. RNAcentral describes it as "partial 23S ribosomal RNA". It matches the Rfam family "Bacterial large subunit ribosomal RNA", at positions 2315 to 2798 of the family's 2925-position model. Lineage: Bacteria; Pseudomonadati; Pseudomonadota; Gammaproteobacteria; Enterobacterales; Enterobacteriaceae. The record is from RNAcentral.